This 662-nucleotide ribosomal RNA is filed under the name uncultured Sebacinaceae. RNAcentral's name for it is "eukaryotic LSU rRNA". The stretch from base 245 to 398 matches the Rfam family "5.8S ribosomal RNA". Lineage: Eukaryota; Fungi; Basidiomycota; Agaricomycetes; Sebacinales; Sebacinaceae. The record is from RNAcentral.
GGUCAUUUAGAGGAAGUAAAAGUCGUAACAAGGUUUCCGUAGGUGAACCUGCGGAAGGAUCAUUAAUGAUUGCGAAUGGUUGCCUUUGGUGCUGGCCCUUUCUUAGAGCAAGUGCACACUGGUGGCUUUCAUCCACUACCCAUGUGAACCUCUUGCCUCUCGCGAGCUUCGGCUAGCAAGAGGAUUUUUUAUACACACUCGAAUGUAAUGAAAACUAUUGUUGUGUGCGCAAGCACUAAUGUACAACUUUCAACAACGGAUCUCUUGGCUCUCGCAUCGAUGAAGAACGCAGCGAAAUGCGAUAAGUAAUGUGAAUUGCAGAAUUCAGUGAAUCAUCGAAUCUUUGAACGCACCUUGCACCCUUUGGCAUUCCGAAGGGUAUGCUCGUUUGAGUGUCAUUGUAAUCUCACACUCUCUGUCUGAUCAGGCAGGGAGCGGUGGACUUGGGUGUUGCCGCUUGAUUGUGGCUCACCUGAAAUGCAUUAGUGCACCUCUCAGUUGGACAUAGUACGGCGUGAUAAGUGUCUUCGCCGGCACCUUGCAAAAGGAUGGCUGAUUGGGAGCUCUGUGCUUUCAAACUGUCUUCGGACACACUCUGACAACUUGACCUCAAAUCGAGUAGGACUACCCGCUGAACUUAAGCAUAUCAAUAAGCGGAGGAA